Molecule: long non-coding RNA, 14296 nt
Filed under: Lynx pardinus (Iberian lynx)
Lineage: Eukaryota; Metazoa; Chordata; Mammalia; Carnivora; Felidae
Rfam family: tRNA (bases 12180-12264)
Source: RNAcentral
CGAGCCCAGAACAAGUGGCAGGUGCUCGCAGGACUCCAGGUGGGCAACCAGUAGGACAAAGCGCAGAUCAUCACCAGCCUCACUCUUCUCAAGCUCGAGCUGCUUCCGGCAUAAAUACCGAACAAGCGUAUCAGGGAGAGGUCACACCAAGGGCCCCCACACCUCGGUGUGCCGUUCUAGGGAGAACUUUGAACAAAGACCACCACCUCUUUAUAUCUGAGUGUGUGUGUGGAUAUGAGUGCAUGAGAGAGAAAUGGAAAGAAACUGAGGCAAUAAUAAAUAUUCAUUUUAGUCUUUGUGUCUUUCUGUAAUUGAGAAGAACCUCUAGUAACGGAAAAUCCAUUCCUAAAGGACACGUUUAGGAAGUAAGUUUGGGCUGGGGAAGGUAUGCGGGGAAAAACUCGAGCUACAAGACGAAAAUAGACAAAACAUCAUGGUCACAAAUUUCUCUAAUUCCAAACUUGUCAUAACUUGAUUAGGGCCUGGUUUGAAACUUACCUUGACUUGGAAAAGCUGGUUUUGGGUCAUAAACACUGUAAAUGAGAUCACAAGGGAGAAAUUGCUUAUUGGAGAGAAGAAUUUUCAAGACAUCCUCAGGACUUUACAAACAGCCAUUACUUAACAUUAAUUAAAGUUUUUGUGAUACAAAUUAUAAAGCAUUGAGCACAAUAUAAAUCCAAAGUCACACAAAGCCGUUCCAAUGCUUUUAUAGGCGAUUCUGAUAUGUGGAUUAAAACUGAUGUAAGAAUCCCCUACUACACGAAAAAUGAUUUCAUUUUCAGACAUUUUCUAAUUUACAUACUCUAGGGCUGAAAUGGUGAAAUUUUGUCACAGACUUUUAGUGAUUAAUAAAAAUGAACAAACGGCAAACUAAGAAUUUAAUAAGAUCCCUAAUGUGUCCUUUAAAUAUACCAAAAUAUAUGCCCUAUUUGACUACUUAGAAUCCCUGCAUUGUAAUAUUUGUUUUGGAAAUAAUUGAGAAUAAUAAGUUUCUAUUCUAUAAAAUUUUUUUCAGGAUCUGAAGUGAAAAAAAUUGAAGCCACAAAUGUUCCUUGUACACAGCUUUCGAUGUCAUUUUUUCAUCGGUUAUAUGAUGAAGAUAUUGUACGCGAUGAUGGACAUAUCAUUAAGUGUUUAGAUUCUUUUUGCGAUCCCUUUCCUAUAUCCGAUGAAUUACGAAAAGUAAGUAUAGAUUUUUAAAAUUUCAUAAUAGAAUUUUAUUUCAGGAAAUGCUUAAUGUCAAAAACCUUUACCUAUGUAAAAUACCUAAAACACCUUUUAUCAAUUAUUAAUGAUCAGUGACAUCAGUUACAUUGGUAGAUUUUUUUCUUGGACGGGACUUUUACUAUCAACUGAAUUAUCUGUGUAUUUCAGUAGUUCUCAACCAGAUGCUACUAAUAGUCAUGCAUAGAGGCCAGAGAUGUUGCUAAACAUCAUGCCGUGGGCAGGACAGCCCCCUACAACAGAGUUCUCUGCCCCAAAAUUUCAAUAGCGCUAAGGCCGAGAAGCCCUGACCUGCUUAAGUCAUGGCUAUUUUUCUUCGAAAUGGGGCUCUUAACAUAUCAAAUGACUAUUUAAAAAUAUCCCUGUUGUAAAAGAAUCGUUCUGCCUCACAGCUGAGAUCAAAAAAGCCAUUUUAGGGGCACCUAGGUGGCUCAGUCAGUUAAACGUCCAACUCUUGGUUUCGACUCAGGUCGUGAUCUUGUGGUUUGUGGGUUCGAGCCCCACAUCGAGCUCCACACUGACAGUCUGGAACCUACUUGGGAUUCUCUCUCUCCCACCUGCCCCUAUCCCUCCCCUACUCACCCUCUCUCUCUCUCUCUCAAAAUAAAUAAACUUUUUAAAAAACCUUCGAUUAACUAAUUUUUUUUUAGCAAGAGGUGUAUUGAAUCAGAAGACAUAGAUUAUUUAGCUAAUUCCUGAGUUAUUAUUUAUAAGAUAGUAACUAAGCAAAUCAUUCAAUAUCUUGAGCCCCAAGAUCUUAUCUGUACAACAUAGAGAUUAAAAUUCCCAUUCUAUCUUGUUGAAACUGUUGAGAUAUGAGUUGAGAGAGCAUUUAAAUAUACUUUUUAAAAAGUGUGACAUGUUAAAAUGAAAUGCAUUAUUAUCAUCAUUAUUUUAUUUAUAGAGAGAGCAAGAGCAACUGGGAGAGAGGCAGAGGGAGAGAGAGAGCAUCUCAAGCAGGCUCCAUGUUCAGCACAGAACCCAACACAGGGCCCCAUCUCAUGACCUAAUCCAAAAUCAAGAUCAUGACCUGAGCCAAAAUCAAGAACCGGACACUCAAUUGACUGAGCCACCCAGGCGCCCCUUAUUAUCAUUAAAUUAUGGAGAUAAACUGUUUACCAAAUGGACAAAAAUUAGGGCUUUUAGGGGCACCUGCAUGGCUGUCGGUUAAGCUGCUGACUUCGGCUCAGGUCUUGAUCUCGUGGUCCGGGAGUUCGAGCCCCGCGCCAGUGUCUGUGCUGACAGCUCCGAUUCUGUGUCUCCCUGUCUCUCUGCCCCUCCCCUGCUUGCACUCUGUCUUUCUCUCUCUCAAAAAUAAGUAAACAUUAAAAAAAAAAUUAGGGCCUUCAGGGGCUCCUGGCUGGCUCAGUCGAUGGAGCGGGCAACUCUUGAUCUCAGGAUUACGAGUUCAAGCCCCACAUUGGGUGUAGAGAUUAUUAAAAAAAAAAUAAAGCUUUGGUAUCAAAUAGACAUAGAUUCAAAUACAGGCUCAGCCACUUAAUAACUGUGGUACUUAGCCUCAUUUUUUCAUCUAUAAAAUAAGAAUGAUGCAAGAAUCAUGUGAGGGGCCCCGUGUUGCUCAGUCGGUUAAGGUCAUGAUCUCACAGUUCAUGGAUUCGAGCUCUGUGCUGACAGCUCGGAGCCUGCUUGAGAUUCUCUGUCUCCAUCUGUCUGCCCCUCUCCCACUCGACUCUAUCUCUCUCUCUCAAAAAAAAAAGAAAAAAAUUCUGUGAGAUAAUGCACUUAAAGUGUUUAGCCCAAUGCCUAGUAUUUAGUAAGCUUUCAGUAAUAGUAAUGACUAGCCACUAAUUACUAUUAUUCUACAUUUAGGAGAUGUCGCUAUGUGUAAGUUGAAUAAGGAGAUGCAUAAGUUGAAUUUAUUGUAAAUCCAGAUGGGCAUGACCUAGGGAAGCCCCUGACACACCAUUCUGGACAUAGACAUCUUGUCUGUAGGAGACCGGAAGGCAUCCAGCCAGUCUCUGCGUUCUUCUACACCAACAGAACACCUGAAAGAACCCUUAGUUGAAGAAGACAAUCAAACUACUCAUUGAGGAUGUCCAAACACAUAACUGAGGAGACGAUAUAUAGUUGCUCUGUAGUUAGGUGGUAUGUAUUACACAAGAUAAGCACCAUACCUUGGGGAUCUGAUAAUAAUUUCUACUCUUCCUUACCAAGGACUGGAAAUUAACCUCUACAAAGUGUCUAGUCUAGUCCGGGUCUUCUUCCUUUUGGGGCACUAUGUCAGCUCUUCUUAUCUGUCCCCGAUCUCUGCUGGCACAUGUACCUCUCUACCACAAGGCCCUGUCCCCUAAUUUCAGAGAGCUCACCCUCACUUAUACUGAGAGCAUUGGCAACGGACUUUUCGAGAGACGGAUGCGCCUUCUCUGCUCUGCUGCUUGUCGUCUGGUUUUCUUUUUUUAAUUUUUUUUUAGAAUUUAUUCAUUUUUGAGAGAGAGAAUGAGGGAGCAUGAGUGGCAGAGGGGCAGAGAGAGUGGGAGACGCAGAAUCUGAAGCAGGUUCCAGGCUCUGAGCUGUGUGCUGACAGCUCAGAGCCCGACGCGGGGCUCAAACUCACGGACCGGGAGAUCAUGACCGUCGGACGGAAGGAAGUCGGACGCUCGACCGCCUGAGCCCCCCAGGCUCCCCUCUGCUGCUGGUCUUCUUUACUUCCAUGCGUAGCCCUUGAAUUCAGGAAGUACCCACACUGUUUUUCUGUCGCCCCGUGGCGACAAGCAAGGUGUUAACUUGGCUGCUUUCUGGCUGAAAAAAUAAAUCGAUAAAUAACCUCCAGCCUUAGCCUGAACUGAAAAGGGCCCUCCGCCAUGCAGCAGCACCGAGCCCGUCACACCGCCUCACCGAGGCCUGCCGAUAACCACCUUCCGCAGGCGGCUCGCAAGUCUGGCUCCUUAACCACAUGGCACACCUCCUCCCUGAGGGCCCCACGUGGAAGCACACGGGGAGAUCAGCCGCAGCUGGGUCCCGCUUCCACAUUUAUUCCCCAAAUAUUUUCAUUUCUGUCAUUUUUACACACGCAGCCUAAUCAGUUCAGUAACCAGAGUGCUCAUGCGAGGAAUGCGUUCGUUCGUCAUUCCUGAGAGCUUUAGUCGCUCUUGUGUUAAGCCAGAUCUUUAGGUAGCUACAAACUCAGGCUUCAAUAUCACAUCAUUUCCUUAGAGAGAGAGAGAGAGAGAGAGAGAGAGAGAAGGAGAGAAGCAGGCAAGGAGGGGAGAUGGGCCAAGCCGUAUGUGUGGCACACCCAGGGAGUGAUAAACCGUAAACCACUUCCCCUCACCUUUUACUGCAUGUGACUUUGGCUUUCAUAAACUCAUUGCAAGUAACCUGCACACUGGCAACACCACAGAGUUUAUUUUAAGUGCCUUUUUUAUGCUGACCUUGUGAUGAAUAUUCAUUUGAGAUUGGGGUAAAUCAAAUGUGAAGCUUGAUCAGGUUUCCUAAUUUAAGUGCACUUCUUGCUACUAGACAGUGAUUUUGUAUAACUCCUAUUUCCCUCCUUUACCUGUUUGGUAGUGUUAGUGUUAUGUACAAUUUUUACAGCAUUCCGACUCCUUGUUGUGUUUUCUUUCCCACUUUGUUUCUUGGUUACAGGUUUCUGCCUUUUAACUUUUCGUACUGUGUGGGUAUUUUACUGUUAGCUACUUCACAUUCUUUUUACAAGCAGGUGGAGUAUAAACAACUCAAUAAAAGAAAUGUGUGUUAUGGUUUACAUUCGUCACCUUGUUCGUAUCUACCACAAUCGAGUCAAUCAGUUGUGUGGAAUGGCCAAUGGUAUAAGAAACCCUCCCACGUCCGACCCUGUCGUGCUGUUUUCUGAAAGAGGUGGUGAAGUCUCCAGAGAGCGAGAGUCAGUAUAGAUGGGCGAUGGGUAGGAUGAUAUUAUUAGGGGACAGCAGGAAAAGAGGUGGUUAUGAUGGUCCACUUACCUGAAUAGUUCAAAAUGGAGUAAUGGGGGUGGGCCGGGGCAGGGGUGGUAAGGAAAGUGGUCAUCCAGAAGUGCAGGGGUAGGGCUUAGAAAAUGAGGGCCAGCUUCCAGACUGAAGCAAAGGCUACAGACCUUCUGGGAUGGGGAAGUUUCUCCAUUUAUUUAUGGUCCCUUGUUUCCAAAUAAGAUUUAAGGUGACUCAGCACUAAAAUUGCAGUAGUGCUAAAACCAUUACUAAAGAUACAAAUUAGAACAAAGGUAUAAAGGGGAAGAGGAGAAGAUUUAGAUUUAUUCCUUUAACUGAGCAUCAGUACCUAAAGGUAACAUGGAGGGAAAAUGAGUGCAGGUCUCACCGAUUACUCUUUCUGGUUGUUCAGGAUUGGUUGUUGACAUAGGCCUAGGAUUAUUUGUAAGUUCAUAAAUGGAAACUUUUGAAAACAAAAAUUGGAGCCUUAAAUCAUGUUAGAUUAAGAUGAAUUUUAUCAUUCUCCAUAGGUUUUGCUAGUGGAAGACUCAGAAAAAUAUGAAAUAUUUAGCCAAGCUGAUAGAGAAGAGUUCCUGUUUUGUCUUUUCAAACAUCUUUGCCUUGGUGGAGCCCUUUGUCAGUACGAAGAUGUGCUUAAUCCAUAUCUGGAAACAACAAAGCUUAUCUAUAAAGAUCUAGUGAGGUAAUGGUGCUAGAUUACAGUAGGUAAAUCUCUGGUUAACGGAGUGCGUUGUUUAACUGUGCUGGGCUCGCCUAGCGUCUGUCGGGUCCUGUUGACGCCAACCACCAAAGCGUGUGAGAACAGCACCGCUUCGAACCCCUUUUCCGGCCUCUCCCUUCUCGUCCAGGUUGGGACACGGUCACAUCUCCCUGACUCUCUUUAGCACCCAGUUCCCGGUUCUCAUCUGACUGUGCUUCCUUCCCCAUCCAACGGAUUACUCGCUCCAUGCCUGCUUAGCGGCUGACUUAUCCCAGAUCUUCUAUCACAUUCUCCCCAGGUUCCUGUCGUGCUUACCCCAGGUCUUCUGUCACACUUAUCCCAGGCAUCCUGUCACAUUUACCUCAGAUCUCCUGUCACACUUACCUUAAGUCCCCUGUCACCUCACCCCAGGUCUGCUGUCACAUCAGUUUCCUAUCACACUUAACCCAGGCUUCCUGUCACACUUAUCCCAGGCGUCCUCUCACAUUUACCUCAGAUCUCCUGUCACACUUACCCCAGGUUCCUGUCACAGAUACCUCGGUCUCCUGUCCACUCACCCAGGUCUCAUGUCACAUUUAGCACAGGUCUCAUUUCACAUUUACCACCAGUCUCAUGUCACCUUUACCCCAGGUCUCCUGUCACAAUUACCCCAGGUCUCCUUUCACAUUUACCCCAGGUCUCCUGUCAUAUUUACCCCAGGUGUCCUCUCAAAUUUAUUUCAGGUCUCCUGUCACCACAUCCCAGGUGUACUACCCUUUUACCUCAGGGCUCCUUCACACUUACCCAAGGUUCCUCUCAUACUUACCGUAGGUCUCCUGUCACAUUCACCCCAGGUCUGAUGUCACUUUUACCUCAGGUCUCCUGUCACACUUAUCGCAGAUCUCCUGUCACAUUCACCACAGGCUUGAUGUCACUUUUACCUCAGGUCUCCUAUCACACCUACCCAGGGCUCCUGUCCCAUUUACCACAGGAAUCCUGUCACACUUACCCCAGAUGUCCUGUGCAUUUACCACAGGUCUCUUGUCGUAUUUACCCCAGGUCUCCUGUCACAUUCACCCCAGGUCUGAUGUCGCUUUUACCUCAGGUCUCCUAUCAUACUUACCCCAGGUUCCUGUCACACUUACCCUAGGUCUCCUUUCACACUUAUCCCAGGUCUUGGGUCACACUUACCCCAGGUCUUCUGUCACACUUACUUAAGGCCUCCUGUCACACUUACCCAGGUCUCCUGCCACACUUAACCCAGGCCUCCUGUCACAUUUAUCCCAGGCGUCCUGUCACAUUUACCUCAGAUCUCCUGUCACACUUACCUUAAGUCCCCUGUCACCUCACCCCAGGUCUGCUGUCACAUCAGUUUCCUAUCACACUUAACCCAGGCUUCCUGUCACACUUAUCCCAGGCGUCCUCUCACAUUUACCUCAGAUCUCCUGUCACACUUACCCCAGGUUCCUGUCACAGAUACCUCGGUCUCCUGUCCACUCACCCAGGUCUCAUGUCACAUUUAGCACAGGUCUCAUUUCACAUUUACCACCAGUCUCAUGUCACCUUUACCCCAGGUCUCCUGUCACACUCACCCCAGGUCUCUUGUCACACUCACCUCAGGUCUCCUGUCAUGUUGGCCCCAGGUCUCUUUUCACACUUCUCCUAGAUUUCCUGUCACACCUACCCCAGAACUCCUGUUAUACUUACCCCAGGUCUCCUGUGACAUUUACCCCAGGUCUCUUUUCACAUUUCAGGAGAACACAAGAUUCCUCAGGUUGUGUAAAUUUGCUUGACUAAUAGUAGAACAAUUACCUUUUUUGUAGAGAGGUGGAAAGAUUUUUAUCUAGGCAUAAACUUUACAUUUUUAAAUUAAUUCUAAAUUCCAGGUUUGCUUAGGUGAUCCACUAGUUCUGUUUUUUCUCUUUGAAGAUCUAAUUGGUAUAAAAACGUUAUAAUCAUUUAUUUAUACUUGGGUUGGGCUUUUCAGUGAUGAAGAUAUUGGAUCAUGUCUGUAGGCAAAAGGGAUAGGAACGAGUAAAAGCAGAGUUUACUUACAAAAUUUUGCUUUAAUCGGAAAAAAACAGAAUUAGCUUGUCGUAAAACUCUCGAUCGUUACUUGCACUCAGCAUCGCAAAUCUCACUUCUGCUCUGUGUGUCAUUCAGCUGUGUGACAACUACGUGAUGUAGUUAUUUCGCUUCAUUCUUUUUCUUAUAUAGUUUUUUUUAAGUUGAUUUAUUUUGAGAAAGAGAGAGAGAGGGUGGGGGAGGAGGAGAGAGAGAGGAGAGAGAGACUCCCAAGCAGGCUCCUCGCUGUCAGCUCAGAGCCGGAGGCAAGGCUGGAACCCGUGAACCGCGAGAUCAUAACCUGAGCCAAAACCGAGAGUCAGACACUUCACUGCUUGAGCCACACAGGGGCCCCUCUGAUACGGUUUUAAAAACAAAAAUUAUUUCUUUAAUUUGCCUCCGAUUUUUGUGGAAAAGUUACUCUGCCAAUACAUAAAGAUUGUCCAAAAAAGUGUUAGAAACAGAAUUUGAGAAAAGCAUAUACAUACUCACAUCCAAAACAUUCUGUCCUUAUAUUCAGCUCGUGAAAACCCGUAGGCCUGCUUCCAGCACUCCCUGCAGAUACUCUGUGGUACACCUAGUCUCUCACACACACACACACACACACACGUGCGCGCACACCGCUGCCACGACAUUGUGUUGUACUUCACUGGCCACACGAACGUGUGGGAUUCGUCACCAUCGUGUGCUAUGCGAGAGGAGAUUCUGCUGGAGGUGUUUGAAACAGAAGUAGCUUUAGAACCUAAACACUGGAGAAACCGUUUUCCCUGACCUCCCCUGUCCUGGAUUCUCACCUGUGACUCUCCUCCACGCUGCUUGGGUGCUAAGUGACACUAUGGCUCCAGGGUCAACGGCCACUGGUCAAAUGAGUGGCCAAAAUUCACGGCAUCCAACAGGAAGAAGAGAAUCACGCCCGCAGAAUCCCUUAGGCGGGCAACCGACGAGUGUUAAUACUGUGCUCAGAGCUCCGCCAGCCUCCGAAGAGACUACAAGAGGAGCACCAGACAGCCCUCGACCUUAAGGAAAUUAUGAGAAACUAACAUAGUAAGUGAUAGUUUAGAAGGUUUUAUAAGGAAAAACUGUUACGAAAUCCGAUGUUCGAUUUUUUAUAGGCAAAUGUUCGCAGCUCCUGAUGCUGUAAUAAGUACCCCAGGAGUUGAAAAGAGGACAUUAUUAGGGUGGCCGUGUUAGGGAAGUCUCGAUGCAGUGGGGUCCCCAAGAGCCGGCAGAGAGGGCAGCCCGUCCCCUGUCCAGGGGAGACACGCACGUCUCCAGUCUGCCAUUCCAGGGGACGCUGAGAAGGAACCAGCCCGAUUACAGCAUUACUCUUACUUGAGAACCAUUAACUGUUUCUCACGAUGACCCGAGUUGAAGCACGCUGAGGAAUUUCUCUGCUAAGUGCGGAGGAGAUGUGAGGUUGUCUUCCCAAAACAGCUUUAGAAGAAAAUUACGAUCAGGAUGAGUAUUCGCUUAAGAUGGCUGAAGGGCCAGUGCAAAGCAACCGAGUGGGCUGGCUGGUCGGGGUCCCUCCGGAGCCCUGCCGGUUUGCUGAUCUCUCGCGCCGCCUCUGGCCUUUCUAGCUGGUUGUGCUGAUGUGGGUCAGAGGCGGUGGCACUUGGUCAAGGUGAGGGCGCGGGGUGGAUCGGCGUCGCUUCUCGGGAGGAAUGCACGUGUAGGGGAAGCACCCGUGGACCCCCAGCAGUUGUCAGUACCUUGUCAUCCCGAGCCACAUAUCCAGACAAGUCACUUGUACAGGCCGAGUUAACCGGCAAGGGUAUUGUUUUUCCCUGCCCCGUUACUUGAAUUUUGGGCGCGUACCCAUCUUUCAGGAGAACGUCUGCUAUCUUUCUAAUUGUACACGCAGUAGCUGCUUUCCAUUAUCUAACCUGCCCUCGCAGAGAAACGUCAUCACUAAUCUGCUCCAGAAAAGACGUGCAUCCCUUAUGUGUGUCCGUGUUGGAGGCGCGUCACAGAGCUUGAUUUUAGUGGUCUCUGGCUCAAACCAAAGGGUGAGAACAUUCUGAAGAUAUGUUUUCCCUCAUCCGUUAUUACAAGUCCCAUAAGAUACCCUUUUGAAACGUUCUGGAAAGUGCCUUUUCAAGGAUUAUGGUUCUUUUAAAUAAUAUAGGUAAUACUUCAGAGUCGGUUCAUUGGAGAGUAAAUAUGACCAGUUGUUUCACUACAUUUGAAAAAUGUCUAUGCAGAAAUAAUUCUGUAGUUACUAAUGGAAGCCUUUGUCUUUUCUGCUGUCAAUAUUAAACACAGGCUCCGAUCAAAGUUUUUGGAGAGGUUUUCCAAACUGCGUACCUGCCUGAGAUGUGAAAUUUUAUUAUUUAAACCGUGAGGCUUAGAUUAUGGCCCUCAAAUGCUAAUUAAGCAGUGGGAUUCUUAUUUCUUUUUUUUUUUUUUAAGUUUAUUCAUUUAUUUUGAGAGAGAAAGAGAGCGGGAGAGGGGCAGAGAGAGAGAGAGAGAGAGAGAGAGAAUCCCAAGCAGGCUCCGCACUGUCAUCACAGAGCCCGACGCUGGGCUCAAACUCCAGAGCUAUGAGAUCAUGACCUGAGCUCAAAUCAAGAGUUGGUCACUUAACCAACUGAGCCACCCAGGAACCAACUUCUAAUAAUGUUCAAAUGGUAGUUUCUUCGGUAAGUAGUACACUACAGUACAUGUAUGUGUUAAGUGAUUGUUAAAUGAAGUGUCAAACACUAAAUUUUCUUCUCAGUUUAUUUGGUAAGUACAAACUUUUACAAGGGUUGGUCUAGGUUGUUUUUGUUUUUGUUUUUAACUGGGCUAAUUUACAUGCAGUAAAGUGAACAAAUUAUAGUGGACCUACAGCUUAGUGAAUUUUUAUAUAUUUAUACCCGUAUCACCAUCUCCAGAUCAACACUUAAAAUCGAUAUAACCAUAGGUAUGUUCUGUAGUUCGGUUUGGGUGGUUAUGUAGGUGUGUGCAGUAUAAAUGUUUUAUAUGGAGUGACUAUAGUUACCCCUUGGAUAAGCACAGAACUUCAAAUAUAGUCUUCAGUUUUUAAGCAGUAUAUGUUAAGUGUUUAGAGAAAUAAAAUGACCUUAAUCCAUGUCGUAGAAGGAUGUGAAAAUUAAUUGCAUGAUUUCUGCAGAUAAAAGCUGCCUAAAAAAAACAAAAACUGCCUAAGAACUUUUAACCCUGACAUGGCUCAGGUCUGCCCAUUCCAGUAGGUGCGCAAACACACACACACACACACACACACUGGACACAGUCCCCCUUCAUUCUCCUCCUGGCCCACCUCACUCUUUCAUACGUAGUGAAGGAGAAAGAUGCUUGCACCUAGUGAAGUGAGGAAGGGGCCAGCUUCCUUUCAAUGUGACGUCCCCCUGUCACCCAGGAGGACUGCCUGUGGUGCACAUCUGCUGGAUUGGAGGCAGGGAUGAGCGGUUGAGACCUAGGGAAAGGACCUGGAUGGACGCUGUGUCACCUGGAGUCUGUUCCCAGAAAUACCACUUUCAGCUGGAAUGUCUUUAAUGUCUCGUUUAACUUCUCUGGCCCUACUGUCUCUAAACCUGGUAAAGUCGUGCCCAACAGCCUCAUGGAGCUGUGUGGUCUUUAUAUGGAGGAAGUCACACGAAGGUAUUUUGCAGAUGGUAAAGCAUUAGGAAGGGAACAUGUGUGCAUCGCUCUCUGUAGCUUGUUCCUUCCCUCUCUGUGCUUCCGCUCUGUGCUGCCGCAGGGAGUCUUGUGGGGGAGAGUAACUGAAAGAGAGGUACUGAAAGAAAAUAAUUUUAAUAUGAUAUAAUUUAAUAGUACAUAAUUUAGCGAAUAGUUUUCAUAUGCCUUAUCCCACUCGAUUCUCACAUAAUUCUAAAAAGAACCAUAGUGUGCCCAGUUGGCGUGUGAGGAAAUUGAUGUUCAGAAAGGUUAAUCUUUCCCAAAAUGAACCAACAGAUCAGUGCCAGAGCUGGCGUGUUGUUUGCAUUGUUGAAUUCUGUAGUUGCGCCUUUGCCUACCCCUUACCGCUGCCUACACUUCAGUCGGACUUUUAUCAAUUCUUAUUUUUCUGAUCAUUGUCUCUGGCUUGGGAAACAUUCAUCCUGAGUCUCGGUCAGACCUCAGAUAUUCUAACUGUAAAAUUACGUGUUCUGCAGUUCUCCAUCCUGGGGUAAAACUGCGGGUCCGUCCUUUUCAAACCAUUUGAGUCGGAUAUUGUGUAUUUCUAUAUUAUGUAUGCAUAAGAACACCUGCAGACUAAACGGAUCAGUAUUCUAAAUGUAUUAUGCCAAACACUAAAAAAAAGGCAGGGGGUGUGGGGGGGUGCCUGGGUGGCUCAGUCAGGUAAGCGUCUGACUUCAGCUCAGGUCUUGAUCUCACGGUCUGUGGGUUCGAGCCCCACGUCGGGCUCUUUGCUGACAGCUCAGAGCCUGGAGCCUGCUUCGGAUUCUGUGUCUCCCUGCCCCUCUCCUGCUCAUGCUCUGUCUCUCUCUUUCUCUCAAAACUGAAUAAACAUUAAAAAAAAUGUAGGGGUACCUAGGUGGCUCAGUUAAGCGCCUGACUUCAGCUCAGGUCAUGAUCUCACGGUUCGUGGGUUUGAGCCUCGCAUCGGGCUCUGUGCUGGACACUUGCUGGGAGCCUAGAGCCUGCUUCGGGUUCUGUGUCUCCCCCUCUCUCUGCCCCUCCCCCACUCAUGCUCUCUCAAAAAUGAAUAAACGUUAAUAAACAAAAAUAAAUGUAUUGUGUAAAUGCUUGUUAUAUUUAAAAUGUAUCCCUUCCCCCCCCCCAUUUUAGUGUUCGAAAGAAUCCUCAAACCAAGAAAAUACAAAUUACCUCUUCCAUCUUUAAAGUGACGGCAUACGUAAGUGUUGAAGGGGAAUUUGCAACCAAUCAAUUUAAUUACUGGGUAUUAACAGGGUUGUUACAAUGGGAGUUAGCAACUAGUGCAAUGUUAUGUCUAGGAGAAAAGAUGAUGGAUGAUAUUUAGUGUUUUUGUCAAAAUUAGAAGUUGAUAAGUUACGCUUUUAUUUGGAGGGCCAAACGUCCCCCCUGGCCUCUUUUCUGUUGUCCCUGUCUAAUAAUAGUCCGUCCUUAUUUAAGAGCGAAAUGUGUGACUCAGAUGCAGUAGAACACAUUCUCUAGCUUGUCGAACCGUAGCUUCUAGGGCAGAUAAGUAAGGAUGUUGUAAAUGUCUGUAUAUCACAGAAUCUGAUGCUUGAAUUCUAGUGUCAUAUAAAAGAUUGUUAGCACAUUUGAAGCAGUUUCUAAGUAUCUUUAUUCAAUCACUUAACAAAUACUGUUAAGUGCCGGUUGUGUAUCCCCCGCUGUGUUGGGCAUUUUGUGGUGAUAAAGAAAAGAAACAAAGUUGCUUCCCUCAUAGUAUGUAAAGAUCACAUUCUAAAGGAAAGCAAAGAUAGAAGAAAAUUGCAAGACAAAUUUUUGCAAUAUUAGCACUUUAAAAGCACUUUUUCAAAAGAGAAGAUUUCCUUUUAGACUAGAAGUUCCUUAAGGUCGAGAAUUAUGUGCAUUUGUAUUGUACAUAUGUACUGUUGCCCAGUAGACUGCUGUCAGUAAAUAUUUUAAAGUAUCAGUUAAUUACCAAUUUAAUUGUCAGAGAUUUGAUGUAAGUUUCAUGACAUUUUAGCAGAAAAUAUAUAGUAGUUAAAUAUGUUGAUUAUUACUUACAUGCAGUUGUAGACUAAAUAACCUAGGUUUAUCUUUUUCAGGAUUCCGCUGGCAUGUGCUACCCUUCAACAAAGUCUCACGAACAGACAUUUUCUUACUUUCUUGUGGAUCCGAUCAGGCGUCAUGUUCAUGUUCUAUACCACUGUUACGGUGUGGGGGAAAUGUCUUAACAGUAUUCUCUCAGAUUAUCGAUUUUACGGUUUUUACCAAUCUUUUACUUUGACGUCAUUUUAUAGGUAAACAUCUCCUCUGCCAGUUAAUUUAAGUAAAAUGUAGAGAAGCCGCAUAGAACAGAAGGACACGGUACAAGAUGCCUGUCUUUAAAUUUGCCUGGAGUGGUAGCAUAGGGACCGAACUCCAUCCCUACCACGGUCUACACCAAUAUAGUUGUGGACAAUUUACAGAAAGAUACAAGGAACUAAAAAUCCAGUCCGUAUUUGUCGCAUUAGGAUUCAAGUAAGGCCUCGAUUUUCCACGUAUUUUAUUUUAGAAGCUAAUUAAUUUUAGCUUGAAACUGUGGCAGAAAACUGACCAUCUCUCCACUGAUCAUUAUUAUCAACUGUUAGCUUUUCAAAUUUGAGUUUCAUUUCAUUGCAUUUCUUCACUGCAUAAAGAUUUACACGUCCAGGGGUGUAAAAUGCAUAACAAUUCCUUUGCUUCGUUUGUCCCAGUUAAAAUCCUCAAUAAAAAAAGUCAUGUUCUGAAAGUAAUCAUGUUCUGAAGUCUUUUAGCACAUAAUAAAUUACCUCUGCGGCUG